This 485-nucleotide ribosomal RNA is filed under the name uncultured bacterium. RNAcentral describes it as "partial 16S ribosomal RNA". It matches the Rfam family "Bacterial small subunit ribosomal RNA", at positions 28 to 507 of the family's 1533-position model. The record is from RNAcentral.
GAUGAACGCUGGCGGCGUGCUUAACACAUGCAAGUCGAACGGGAUCCAAGGGGUGCUUUCACUUAUUGGUGAGAGUGGCGAACGGGUGAGUAACACGUGAGUAACCUUUCCUUUUCUUUUGGAUAUGCAUUCGUAAGGCUGUUUACUACUUUAUGUUCUGUCUGCCUCGCAUGGGGUGGGUUGGAACGGCUUUGGCUGGAUUUGGGUGGUCUCGCGGUCUAUCAGCUUGUUGGUGGGGUGAUGGCUUACCAAGGCUUUGACGGGUAGCCGGCCUGAGGGGGUGGUCGGUCACAUUGGGACUGUGAUACGGCGAAGACUCCUGCGGGAGGCAGGAGUGGAGGAUAGUGGACAAUGGGCGAAAGCCUGAUGCAGCGACGCAGCGUGGGGGAUGAAGGGAUGCGGGUUGUAAACUUGUAUUGCUCUGAACAAGGCAUGGCAGUGGGUGUGUUGAGUGUAGGGGUGGAUAAGCACCGGCUAACUACGUG